UUUUUGUAAAACACAUGAUGUAGUAUUAGACACAGCAGGCAUAUUUAAAAUACCAGUUAAGUAUUUAGAAACAGUUUUAUUAAGUCAGAAUAAGGUUUAAGGCACAGUAACACAGUUAUUUUUCAAGUAAUAAGAUUCCUUUAAAAUUAAAAGGUCAUUGUUUUUCUAAAGACAAACUAACAACACACAUGAUUAAACAGUUUAAACACACUUGUCUUUGGAAAAGGGGGUUUCCAAAUUUGGUCUAAAACGUAAAAUAAAAUUUUCUUUGUUGAAUAUAGUGCAAAUGGUAGUACAGGUGGGUAGGUAUUUCACUAGUGUGAUAAAAUAUAUUUGGAAAAACAAAAUUUCACAAAAACAAUUUUAUUUUACUGACAAACCAACUUUUUUCAUAUGUCACCCAACAAAAUAAUUCACAAAAAAAAUAAAUUUAAAAAAAAUUUAGAAUUAUAUUUGCACUAUUCCUAAAACCAUGCAUAAGUUAACUGCUGGGGGGGGGGAUCAAUGUGCACAUCAUACAUUUUAUAUUUACAAGUAUUGUAAAAAAUAAUAAUUUAUUGGCUCACUACAUUAAAGAGUAUUUCAUUAAUGAAAUAAUCAUUAACUAUAGUGAAGUUGAAAAAAAACUAUUUAAGAUGGAGCUUCCACCAUCAUGUUCUAUCAAGUAUUCAGUCUUCCAGCUUUGGUCUAUGGAGAGUCCGGCCGUCUUGCUGGUUCCUCUAAACUAAAAGAUCUGUUCUAUACACUCACGCAUGCCCAAGAACACAGUAGUGACGCUGGCAAAUGAAGCACAAGGAGCUGAACACGGAAGAUGGCAGCACCAGUGAAGGAAAGCUUUGGGUAAGUAACUUUAAUUGUAAAGAACACAAUUUGAAUAAGAGAAAAGCAAAUACUGAUGAUAUAUUUAGUAAGAUGAAUAUGAAAAAAUUACAUAUAACUGUAAACUAAGUUAAAAAAAAAAUACAGAUUACAAGAAUAACAAGAAUUUUCACAGUUAACCUGUUGCCUCUCCUUCUUCCAAAGUUAUUCACUAACCUCAGAAUUGAAGCUUCUAAAAAUUUGAAUUGCACAUUAAGGCCCAAAUAGCAGAUUUGAAAGAAGCUUCUAAAAUUGUCAGUUUCCCUCUAUUCUUUGACCAUUUGUAGUUACAAUUCGGAGCUUAGUGAAUAAUGGUCAGUUUCAGUUAUAGGCUCUGAUCACACAGUCUCUAAAUGUCAUGCGUGCAAUGAAGGGACUUCGUUUACCAUUAACAUUCACAGUGUGCUAGCUGACAGUCAAAAAAGAACCAGCUACAGUUUAAAACGAUCAGUAAUAUAUAGCUUACAUGGCUAAGGAUCUUUUCUACAUGGUGAGUGAUAUCACUUCUUCUGAAAACAGUAAUUUGAGCACAAUGCAUCUUUUUUUUUUUUUUUCAAAAAGCCUCACAUAUGCAAGCUAAAAGCCUUCACAAAACGAAAAUCAUUUAAGUUUUUUUUAUGCUUAAUUUAAUAAAUGGCAGUAAUUACAAUAUCUCUCUCAAACAUCACAAUCAGCAGGUUCUCCGUUAUAUGUUCUACUAAUUGAGGGGUUCUGAGAGAAGAACCUCAAGACAGGUCUAGUUAAAGGGGCACUCCAGACCCCUAUAGCAUUUUAGUUUGCUGAAAAGCUGUGUGUGUGAAAAGUGUGUCCUCUUUUGAAAUUAAAAAUGUUAUAAAUUAACCUGGCAACACCCCCUGGCUUUUCAAGCAGACAAUAGAUAAAGUUACUUCCUGGUUUGGGUAGCUCAGUGGAGCUUCUCAGGCGUGAAUCAAUUCAGGUGGUCUUUUUUUCCCCUUUUUCAUUACUUUUGCAACAUUUCAACAUUACAUUUUUCUUUUGUUACAGAUUCCUUGUGUUUCCUUUUUCUAAUAGCACAUUCAGUUAAUUAAUAUUUAUGCGUUUGUUUUGCAUAAAAAAAGUAUUGUAUUUUCUGGGGUUCUCUUACCGCUUGUAUUUUGGUGUACAAAACAAGGCAGAACAUGCACAGAAUAUUUGCACAACCCCCUCCCCCCCCAAAAAAAAAUAUACAAUGUAAAAUGGCAACAUAUUUUCGAAUAUGUUUAAGAUAAAAAGGAACAGAUUAUGAACACUGUAAAAGUGUAAAUUACCCUAACUGACUUUGAAGGUUAUAAAUUUAGAAACUCUGCUAGCACAUUUUAUAUAUAAAUUAAAACAUUUAAUUGUUCUAUACUCCUAUAUUAAAGCAAUACUCAAAUUAAAAAAAAAAUUAAAAAAAUUUCUUCAAGUUGGAGCACUCCUGUUUAGUUUCGAUUAUUCCCCCCAUUUCAGUACGGAAAAUAUUAAAACUUGCAAUUAAACUCAUCUUUAUUGCAGGGCAGGGAUCUGUCUCCUAGUCUGUCAGCUCUGACCUACCUCCUGUGAAAUCAUCACUACUGAUCAUAUCCAAUAAAAGGCAUCUCAUAUACAAAGCACACAGCACAUGUGCAGCAAUAGCCAAUCUGUCAGCCAUGUAUAUUCUAUGACAAGUGGACUCCAGACACUAUAACCACUACAAUGCUAUUAAGUACCGUAUUUAUCGGCGUAUAACACGCACUUUUUCUCCCUGAAAAUAGGGGAGAAAUUGUGGGUGCGUGUUAU
Pelobates cultripes (western spadefoot toad) is the source of this 2616-nucleotide non-coding RNA. The record is from the annotation of a GenBank genome assembly. Lineage: Eukaryota; Metazoa; Chordata; Amphibia; Anura; Pelobatidae.